Molecule: non-coding RNA, 2517 nt
Organism: Drosophila melanogaster (fruit fly)
Lineage: Eukaryota; Metazoa; Arthropoda; Insecta; Diptera; Drosophilidae
Source: Ensembl
GAACGGAGCCCAAAAUUGUAAGUCUUUAAAUAUAUUCGUGUUCAUGUGUGAACACUUAUAAUAUACCUUAGUCGUGUUAUGUUUAUCUAUAUACUUUUGAAUCACAUCGCUUUCCUAUACGUUGAUUACUUGUAGACCCUAAUUUUCGAAAUCUGGAAAUUACUCUCCAGCUAGUUUUAAACCAAGAGACGAACAUUUGGAAACAGACCAUAUAUGCAGAGCUUAGCGCUGUGGAAAAAGAACAACGAAUUUUAUUUACAUUUUGAUUACGAUAUAUGUAUGUUACAUGUUCUUCAAAGAACUGCAAGCAAAUGUUAAUUUUUAUUUAAUUUGCAAACGACCAUUUAACGAAACCACAUAAAACGUCAUAGCUUUUCGAUAUAUAAAUUAGCAGUAAAGUGCAAAGACAUUAAUUACUACGGCAAUUAUUCGUGUCAAUUUAUUAUUGUAAAUAAUAACCACAUAUAAAUAAUUAUUAAACAAUGGAACACAAAUUAAACAGUUCAGGUCACUUGUUCAUUCCAUACAUUCCAUGUUCAAAACCAGCCCCUUUCACAGUUCAGUGUAUGUGUUUUUCAAAGGAUUCGAAAUUUUAAUUUUGGAGGUUUCACAUACUUAUUCUGGGUAAUGCCAUUGAGAGCACCAUCAGUAGCACAUUUUACCAGUUCUUAUUGGCUGAUCACGGGAAAGUUGGAAUGUCAACUGAAUGUUGGUAAUAAGACGUAUUCUGAGAUUACAAUAAAUAGCUGAGUUAAUCUAUAUGAAAUUAUUAUUCCGCCAAUUCAUGGUCCUUGAAGUCUAGUGUAAGGCUAAGCAAGUUUGUUGUUUCAAAAGUUUAAUGUGAAGUAUCAUAGGCAUUAAACAGUACGACUUUUUAGGUCACACACCAAGAGUAUUUUUUAAGUAUGUGUUAUUUGUCUAUUAUAAGACAAGCCAAUGCACGCGUUGUAUGAUGUUAGCCGUUUGGCAAUAUGUAAUUACUUCUUGGCCAACCCAGCUCCUGAAUUUGGUCCGACUCCUGCUGCUCAUCCUCACAUUCAUUCUCACAAGAUAUCAUGAUCAUGAUCGUUUAGCUAAAAGCAAUGUCAAUAAAGUAUGUAUCCAGUAUAUGCACCCAGUUAUCCACAUACAGCAACCGAUACUACUCAUGCAGUUGGCGCUGGUAUGUGGACGAGCUCAAAUCAUAGUUAAGUAAUACAUAUAUAAAUACAUAUUAAUUCUACAUAUUUAUACACAGCGAGGACAUACAUACAGUUACAUAUACAAAUACAAAUGGAGGUUAAAGGAUAAUAAUGCUUAAAGGCUUUAGUUCGUGUAAACAAUCUUCCAAAACCGAUUUAAUUCCCAGCUGAUCACAGUGAGCUGUGUUCAAAAAAAUAAUAUUCUAACCUUCUUCAUUUAACCAAUUGUUCCCUAGACCCAGCAGCCAUGAUAGGGUAUCAAAGUUACCUUGCAAGUUUUAAAAUGCAGUUGGAAUUCAGCGCAAAAUUUUCUUGUUCGUUUUCCACUUUUAUGUUGAUAAUGGUAACGUACUCAAUUAUUGCAAAAAAACCAAAGGAUGUUCCACAAGUAUAUAUUUCAGUGUGUCAUACUCAAAACAAUCGAAAUAACUAUUCUUCUCUGUGCCACAAUUAAAAUUCAAGUUUUCCUUGCUUAAUAUGUAAUAGAGUAAAAAAAAAUAAAUUAAAAUAUUCUUUAAAAUUCUUGUUUUAGGCUAUUCAGGAAUUGAUGAAAAUGACUAUGUUCUAUGUUUAAUAAUUAAAAAUGUUAUAUUCUGCUAUUCAAAAGUGUGUCAGCAAGUCGGAUAACCGCACGAGCCUUAAUGGUUAAAGGAAAUAGACUACGUAGUCAUUUUGAUCACAUGCUCACACACAAAAAUCAACGUUACACAAGAAAUCGUAUGAACAAUCCGCAAAUUAGAUUUUUCCGUUCUUUAUUACCUAAAAUCGAUUGCUUUUCUUGGCCCAAAGCAAGUAAUAGUUCUUCCUUCUCUAAAAACACGUCGAUCCAAAAUCUUGAAGCUGCCAUUAUCGCUUGUUUUGAAUACAGAAGUUUAGUUAAGCAAAUUCGAUUGAAAUUAUUUCAAUGUGAGAAUUAUACAAAAUAUAAUAGUUCGUGUUAUCUUUAACUGAAUCUUAUGCAAAAGUGCACCUGUGGAGGAAGCAUAUAAAAAUGUGCAAUGUACUUUAUUUAUUGGCGAGGAUCCAGGCUAUCUAAGGAUUCUGGGCAAAAGUAGACACUCAACCUUAAAAAUUCUUUCCUCUAAAAACUUAUACAAUGUACAAUAAUUGUUACAUAAACUUAUACAUACUUACAACUAUAACAUGCUAUACCGAAAUUACAAUAAAUGUUUACGUCUGACACUUGUGUUACUUAGUUGUAAUUGUUUGCAAGAACAAUAACCUUCGAGGAGACAACUUAUACCUAUUGGUGGGGCUUAACUUGAAACACGAAACUAUUACUAAUAUACAAAACUGUUGUUAUGUUUAGUCCAAAAAUAAAUUCCGAAAAUAAAUG